AAAAUGUUCGUUGCAACCAGGUCGAGUUUGGGAGUCGGUUAUGCAAGAGGAAGGUGUUAACACCCCUUACAUCCGUUAUACUCAACUGGAACCUUUUAGUUAAAUUUGCGAUUAAAUGUUAGUGUGUUAAUUGUUUUCUUCUACUUAUUGAGUGAGAAAAGGAAGGAAAGGAAAAUGUUUUUGGGUUUUUAUUAAUGUGAAAAGAAGGGGACUAAACCUAAGUUUU
RNAcentral lists this long non-coding RNA (226 nucleotides) under Lathyrus oleraceus (garden pea). Its description in RNAcentral is "Pisum sativum (pea) long non-coding RNA (PSAT_LNC007680)". The record is from RNAcentral. Lineage: Eukaryota; Viridiplantae; Streptophyta; Magnoliopsida; Fabales; Fabaceae.